UACGGGAGGGGCAAGCGUUGUUCGGAAUUACUGGGCGUAAAGGGCUCGUAGGUGGCCAACUAAGUCAGACGUGAAAUCCCUCGGCUUAACCGGGGAACUGCGUCUGAUACUGGAUGGCUUGAGUUUGGGAGAGGGACGCGGAAUUCCAGGUGUAGCGGUGAAAUGCGUAGAUAUCUGGAGGAACACCGGUGGCGAAGGCGGCGUCCUGGACCAACACUGACACUGAGGAGCGAAAGCCAGGGGAGCAAACGGG
Molecule: ribosomal RNA, 253 nt
Filed under: uncultured bacterium
Lineage: Bacteria
Description: partial 16S ribosomal RNA
Rfam family: Bacterial small subunit ribosomal RNA
Source: RNAcentral